This 304-nucleotide long non-coding RNA is filed under the name Salvia miltiorrhiza (redroot sage). Its description in RNAcentral is "long non-coding RNA (SMIL_LNC012746)". Lineage: Eukaryota; Viridiplantae; Streptophyta; Magnoliopsida; Lamiales; Lamiaceae. The record is from RNAcentral.
UACAUCCACGUCCAAGGCACUCACUCCAAGUUUAGUGGAUGAGGAUGAUGAAGAGAGUGGUGAUGAUGAAGAGGUUGAUGCCGAGCUCUACAAAGAUGAUGAAGGAGCUAAUUCGCUCAUUGGUUCGGAGGAUGAGGAUGAUGAUUAGAGGCUUUAAUACAAUUAUAUAUUUAUUUUUAUUUGAACUUAUGACUUUAUUUUUUAUUAACUAGACAUAUUAUGCAUGGUUUUACUAUGAUUAUGAUAUAUAUUAUGUUUUUAUCUAUUUCUGCGUGAUAUAUUCAAAUAGCGCGCGAUGCGCGAU